Mytilus californianus (California mussel) is the source of this 1978-nucleotide long non-coding RNA. RefSeq lists it as uncharacterized. NCBI's taxonomy places the organism in Eukaryota, Metazoa, Mollusca, Bivalvia, Mytilida, Mytilidae. The transcript has 3 exons. The record is from RefSeq and is a predicted model, not a curated record.
CACAGAGAUCCAUACACUUGAACACAAGUUAUUGUCAUGAAACUAGAAAAAUGCUUGUUUUUUGCCCCUUUUUGGCCCCUAAUUCCUAAAAUUUGGAGGCAAUUACCCGCAAAAUCAAUCCCAGCAUUCCCUUUGUGAUAUGGAACCUUGUGGUACAAUGUCAGAGAGAUCCAUACACUUACCCACAAGUUAUGUCUGGAGUUACAAUAAAAUGCUCUGCAGGGCGCAGCUUGAUACGACCGCAGAGGUCGAACCCUGACCAGUUGGGGCAAGUAUGGACACAACAUUCAAGCUUGAUACAGCUUUGCAUUUGGAUUGUGAUUAAAUAUUUGACACAGCAUAGGUUUCUGACACAGAAUGAAUGUGGUCUAAGAACUUAAAAUUUUUAAAUUGGACAUUCACCUAUUAUGGUCCAAUAUCCUAUUACCUAUUCAAACCAUAUCAUUAUUAUUUGCUUUUAUAUAUAAAUCAGAAAUAACCAAUUUAAAAUGGAAAAUUUUAAUGAAAAAAAAGGAAAAAAAAUUCUCCCCCAAAUUUUUUGAACCCCCUUAUGAUUCAUCACCCCAAAACUCAAUCCUAGCCUUCCCUUUGUGGUAUGGUACCUUGCAUUACAAUUUCAGAGAGAUCCAUACACUUGAACACAAGUUAUUGUCUGGAAACUAGAAAAAAUGCUUUUUUUUUGGCCCCUUUUUGGCCCCAAAUUCCUAAACAUUUAGAGCAAUUACCCCCAAACUCAAACCCAGCUUUCCCUUUGUGAUAUGGAACCUUGUAGUACAUUUUCAUAAAGAUCCAUACACUUACACACAAGUUAUUGUCCUGAAACUAGAAAAAUGCUUGUUUUUGGCCCCUAAUUCCUAAAAUUUUGAGGCAAUUACCCCCAAAACCAAUCCCAGCCUUCCCUUUGUGGUAUGGUACCUUGCAGUACAAUUUCAGAGAGAUCCAUACAUUUGAACACAAGUUAUUGUCUGGAACCUAGAAAAAUGCUUAUUUUUUGCCCCUUUUUGGCCCCUUAUUCCUAAACUUUUUGGGCAAUUACCCCCAAACUCAAUUCCAGCUUUCCCUUUGUGAUAUGGAACCUUGUAGUACAAUUUCAGAAAGAUCCAUACACUUACACACAAGUUAUUGUCAUGAAACUAGAAAAAUGCUUGUUUUUAGCCCCUUUUUGGCCCCUAAUCCCUAAAAUUUGGAGGCAAUUACCCCCAAAAUCAAUCCCAGCAUUCCCUUUGUGAUAUGGAACCUUGUGAUACAAUGUCAGAGAGAUCCAUACACUUACACACAAGUUAUUGUCAUGAAACUAGAAAAAUGCUUGUUUUUUGCCCCUUUCUGGCCCCCAAUUCCUAAAAUUUGGAGGCAAUUACCCCCAAAAUCAAUCCCAGCAUUCCCUUUGUGAUAUGGAACAUUGUGGUACAAUGUCAGAGAGAUCCAUACACUUACACACAAAUUAUGUCUGGAAGUUACAAUAAAAUGCUCCGCAGGGCGCAGCUUGAUACGACCGCAGAGGUCGAACCCUGAACAGUUGGGGCAAGUAUGGACACAACAUUCAAGCUUGAUACAGCUCUGAAUUUGGAUUGUGAUUAAAUAUUUGACACAGCAUAGGUUUCUGACACAGAAUGAAUGUGGUCUAAGAACUUAAAAAUUUUAAAUUGGACAUUCAACUAUUAUGGUCCAAUAUCCAAAAUCUAAAUACAUGGUUAGAUUCAGCAUAUCAAAGAACCCCAAGAAUUCAAUUUUUGAUGAAAUCAAACAAAGUUUAAUUUUGGACCCUUUUGACCUCAAUGUGGACAAAGUUGAUAAUGGGGCCCAAAAAUCAAAACUCUAAAUACAUGGUUAGAUUCAGCAUAUCAAAGAACCCCAUAUAUUCAAUUUUUGUUGAAAUCAAACAAAGUUUAAUUUUGGACCCCGAUUUGGACCAACUUGAAAACUGGGCCCAUAAUCAAAAAUCUAAAUACAUGUUUAGAUUCAGCAUAUCAAAGAAUCC